UACGUAGGGGGCAAGCGUUGUCCGGAUUUAUUGGGCGUAAAGAGCGUGUAGGCGGCCAGACAGGUCCGUUGUGAAAACUCGAGGCUCAACCUCGAGACGCCGAUGGAAACCAUCUGGCUAGAGUCCGGAAGAGGAAAGUGGAAUUCCUGGUGUAGCGGUGAAAUGCGCAGAUAUCAGGAAGAACACCAAUGGCGAAAGCAGCUUUCUGGGACGGUACUGACGCUGAGACGCGAAAGCGUGGGGAGCGAACAGG
Molecule: ribosomal RNA, 253 nt
Filed under: uncultured bacterium
Lineage: Bacteria
Description: partial 16S ribosomal RNA
Rfam family: Bacterial small subunit ribosomal RNA
Source: RNAcentral